Molecule: long non-coding RNA, 864 nt
Filed under: Homo sapiens (human)
Lineage: Eukaryota; Metazoa; Chordata; Mammalia; Primates; Hominidae
Description: HSALNT0393623
Source: RNAcentral
CAAGCUUAUGUUACUAUAGAAGAAUGAGAGAUCACCUGGGCAAAUAUAAGACAUUUUAGAUGAUCCAUAAUAGAAUUACUAACCUCCAGUCUGUCUGCCAGCUCCACAAAGACACAAGAGCAAACCCAGAAAUUCUGAGAACCUUCCUUGAAAUCAUUGAACAGCAAAUGAACAAGCUGUUGCCAACCUGGGGUAGAAGACAGCAGAAUUCCAGCAAGUUUCCUGAAUGGAUUCCCAUUCACUGCUCUUGGACUUGGGAGAGCUCUGGUAAGAGACAGGGAAACCUUUCCUUUCCCCUUCCCAGGGACUCAGUAAAUAUGCAGGCACCACAGCCAGGGUAUUCAUUGAUCAGAUGUACAUCCCUCCUCCACAACAGACAAAUUGAUCACUCUGGAUCACCAAGAAGAUCUACGUUGUUUACAUAAUAACAAUAGUGGGGUUUAUUACAGUGUAAUAUUGUAAUGACUUUUUGUCCAGGAAACUUGUGAACAUCCCAUUUUUAUCCACAAACUGUUAUUCUUUCCUGCAAGGUCCCCAAGGGAAGUAUACACACAAUAUAAUUAAAACACAACAAAGAAGCAUUCUACUGUGCGUUUACCAUACACUCUAAAGUGGAAUUUCAAGACACUAAGCGAAAGCAUACUUUAUUUUAAAUGUUAGAUAUGCUGGUAUGUUUUGUACAAUCAAAUACUUAUGAGACCUGUUCUCUCCAUUUGUCCUAGUGAGGCAGGAAAUUAAAGAAAAAUAAAAUUAAAAAGAGAAAUAAGUUUUCCUGUAUUAGGCUAACUUGUCCCAGGCAGCAACAGGCACAGCCCAGACCCAGGAAAAUUCUUGCUAAUAUUAUCUAAUGUGCUCUGGAGGCUC